CGUCGCGGGCGUUGGAAAUUUGAGAGGAGCUGUCCUUAGUACGAGAGGACCGGGAUGGACUUACCGCUGGUGUACCAGUUGUUCUGCCAAGGGCAUUGCUGGGUAGCUAUGUAGGGAAGGGAUAAACGCUGAAAGCAUCUAAGUGUGAAGCCCACCUCAAGAUGAGAUUUCCCAUUUCUUUAAGAAAGUAAGAUCCCUGAGAGAUGAUCAGGUAGAUAGGUCAGGAGUGGAAGUACAGUGAUGUAUGGAGCGGACUGAUACUAAUCGAUCGAGGACUUAACCACA
This 285-nucleotide ribosomal RNA is filed under the name Enterococcus hirae. RNAcentral describes it as "partial 23S ribosomal RNA". It matches the Rfam family "Bacterial large subunit ribosomal RNA", at positions 2643 to 2925 of the family's 2925-position model. The record is from RNAcentral. Lineage: Bacteria; Bacillati; Bacillota; Bacilli; Lactobacillales; Enterococcaceae.